GACGAACGCUGGCGGCGUGCUUAACACAUGCAAGUCGAACGGAAAGGCCCUGCUUUUGUGGGGUGCUCGAGUGGCGAACGGGUGAGUAACACGUGAGUAACCUGCCCUUGACUUUGGGAUAACUUCAGGAAACUGGGGCUAAUACCGGAUAGGAGCUCCUGCUGCAUGGUGGGGGUUGGAAAGUUUCGGCGGUGGGGGAUGGACUCGCGGCUUAUCAGCUUGUUGGUGGGGUAGUGGCUUACCAAGGCUUUGACGGGUAGCCGGCCUGAGAGGUUGACCGGCCACAUUGGGACUGAGAUACCGCCCAGACUCCUACGGGAGGCAGCCGUGGGGAAUAGUGCAAAAUGGGCGAAAGCCUGAUGCAGCAACGCCGCGUGCGGGAUGACGGCCUUCAGGCUGUAAACCGCUUUCGCCUGUGACGAAGCGUGAGUGACGGUAAUGGGUAAAGAAGCACCGGCUAACUACGUG
This 468-nucleotide ribosomal RNA is filed under the name uncultured bacterium. Its description in RNAcentral is "partial 16S ribosomal RNA". It matches the Rfam family "Bacterial small subunit ribosomal RNA", at positions 28 to 507 of the family's 1533-position model. The record is from RNAcentral.